GUACACUCCUACGGGAGGCAGCAGUGAGGAAUAUUGGACAAUGGGUGGAAGCCUGAUCCAGCCAUCCCGCGUGCAGGAAGACGGCCCUAUGGGUUGUAAACUGCUUUUAUCUGGGGAUAAACCUACUUACGUGUAAGUAGCUGAAGGUACCAGAAGAAUAAGCACCGGCUAACUCCGUGCCAGCAGCCGCGGUAAUACGGAGGGUGCAAGCGUUAUCCGGAUUUAUUGGGUUUAAAGGGUCCGUAGGCGGACUGAUAAGUCAGUGGUGAAAUCCGACAGCUUAACUGUCGAACUGCCAUUGAUACUGUUAGUCUUGAGUAAGGUUGAAGUGGCUGGAAUAAGUAGUGUAGCGGUGAAAUGCAUAGAUAUUACUUAGAACACCAAUUGCGAAGGCAGGUCACUAAGUCUUAACUGACGCUGAUGGACGAAAGCGUGGGGAGCGAACAGGAUUAGAAACCCGGGUAGUCCCAUGAU
RNAcentral lists this ribosomal RNA (474 nucleotides) under uncultured organism. Its description in RNAcentral is "partial 16S ribosomal RNA". It matches the Rfam family "Bacterial small subunit ribosomal RNA", at positions 331 to 801 of the family's 1533-position model. The record is from RNAcentral.